GAUGAACGCUGGCGGCAUGCCUAAUACAUGCAAGUCGAGCGGCCAGACGAGGAGCUUGCUCCUCUGACGUUAGCGACGGACGGGCGAGUAACACGUAGAUCACCUUCCUCUUAGACUUGGAGGACUUCGGGAAGCCGCUGAUGAUACCAGAUAAUAUAUUGAACCGCUGGGUGCAAUAGUGCAUGACGGUUUUGCUGUCACUUAUAGAUGAAUCCGGGCCGCAUUAGCUAGUUGGUAAGGUAACGGCUUACCAAGGCAACGAUGCGUAGCUGAUCUGAGAGGAUGAUCAGCCACACUGGAACUGAGACACGGUCCAGACUCCUACGGGAGGCAGCAGUAGGGAAUCUUCCACAAUGGGCGAAAGCCUGAUCCAGCAACACCGCGUGGGUGAUGAAGGCCUUCGGAUCGUAAAACUCUGUUAUUAGGGAAGAACAAAUGUGUAAUAAACUCUGCCCGUCUUGACGGUACCCAAUCAGAAAGCCACGGCUAACUACGUG
Molecule: ribosomal RNA, 497 nt
Filed under: uncultured bacterium
Lineage: Bacteria
Description: partial 16S ribosomal RNA
Rfam family: Bacterial small subunit ribosomal RNA
Source: RNAcentral